UGAAACGAUCUACAGGCGCUGAAUGAAGAAUGUGUCAAAUUGAAUUGGGUUUUAACAUGAAGCGCGUUUUAUAAUACGCACAGUCACAUGACUGCUUUGGAGACCCAGACUUUUAAUGAGCAAGAGUGUGGCAUGGAAAACAAAAAAAAUCAAGACGGCAUGAGGAAGGAAACUCUCACGAGAGCAUUUCACAGAAGGCAGAAUUAUACCUAAGAAGUCAGAGUUCGACCUGAAAAUGACUUUUAGACCAAAAGGUCCUCCGUGAUUUCACUGACAAUGGCUGCCAGAAUUUUAAAAACUCACCUUCAACUUCAAAUUUCAGAUUUAAAACGCUAAUAUAGUGCUAGAGAAGAUACACUCUGCCUUCAAAGGGCAUAAACCACUGAAGGAGAAAAUAGUUUUCCUUCUAUAAGCAAAGACAUUGUUUUUCAGCUUUUUAUAUAGUUAUCCAUAGUAGAACUUUAAUACUACUACUCAUGUUCUGAACUGUCUUUAUAUUCCGGGAUGUUAAAAUCUGACACUUUCAUUCAGGAAGUAACACACCAUCCCAUAAUGUUUCCAUAUAUGCUUACUACAAAGAGUGUAAUAUAAUGAUGUAGUGAAGUAUGUAGCAGCAAUAAGUAUCUUUUAGAAAUUGACUCCUUACAGGUUAUAGUGUCGAGGUCCCUACAGGAUUUUGUGAUUUUGCAACUGCAGAAAUCAACGCAAAAUCAAGCAAACUCCGGAAUAUUUGCAAUACGUCGAAAUGACCGCAGAUUUUGUCGCAUUCCACCAAAGCCCUCUUUGAUCAGGUGCAUCGAGCAUGAGGACAGCUAAAAGGUCUCAUUGGCCAGUAAACAUAACUGUGAAAGACUUCCGAAUUGCGAUUUCGCCAAUUCAAGUAGUUUUCCACAAAAAAAAAAAAAAAAAAAAAAAAACAAGCAUUUUUGGCUGCAACAAUCACAAAAAAAAAAUCUGUGAAUUCCUGAACAGACUGAUAUCACUUUUAGGACGCUUCUUUAAUCCGUUGUUUAUAUGCAAGUUGGCAACGCAUGCAUUUACAUUAAUGAGAAUAUAUGAAUAUAAAUUGUCAACGGAUGCGUCUCAGUCAGCUCCCUAGUUCAGUAGUCAGGACCCUGAUCAGGGAGUCGGCCAUUUUAAGCGCUGUCUCAAGCGCAAAAUCCUUCCAGUGCACUGGAACGUUCACUCCCUAAAAAAUCCCACAAUGCACCACAAAACCCAGGGAGCGUCGAUGUUCCCUUACUGGAAAUGACGUCAUGUUUUCUGAAGCCUCUCCUGCUUGAUGUACCAUGACAGAAACGUGUGAUUAAGUCGACAAAUUCAUGACGUAUAAAUAUUUUUACGUUUUUAAUUUUUGGUGACGUUUUAUUUUACACCGUGAUAGCCGGGGUCGCUACCAGUUCCUGAACUGGUGUACACGAUACGAUUCAUAACCUAGGGAGCUAAGGAGAUGUUCGAGACAUGCCCAGUUAUUCAGACCACCAGUUUUAGGUCAAAUAUUUCCAUGGACUUGGUGACUAAAAGUAUAACAAGCUAUCUUAAACAUAUGUUCUUAAACAUAGUUUUCACCUUUGAAUGCGUAAAUAUUAUUACAAUGGAAAUUUCCUAAUAAGUGGAUAGUGAAAUUUCUUCUAACAGACUUCAAGCAUGUGACUGAACUGUCUUUUAGACAAAAGUCAGUGAGCUGUAUAUUCUGCUACACAUGUUAUUAAAAUGUGGGA
Molecule: long non-coding RNA, 1721 nt
Organism: Ictalurus punctatus (channel catfish)
Lineage: Eukaryota; Metazoa; Chordata; Actinopteri; Siluriformes; Ictaluridae
Source: Ensembl